GAUGAACGCUGGCGGCGUGCCUAAUACAUGCAAGUCGAACGCAUAGCGAAAGGUGCUUGCACCUUUCAAGUGAGUGGCGAACGGGUGAGUAACACGUGGACAACCUGCCUCAAGGCUGGGGAUAACAUUUGGAAACAGAUGCUAAUACCGAAUAAAACUUAGUGUCGCAUGACACAAAGUUAAAAGGCGCUUCGGCGUCACCUAGAGAUGGAUCCGCGGUGCAUUAGUUAGUUGGUGGGGUAAAGGCCUACCAAGACAAUGAUGCAUAGCCGAGUUGAGAGACUGAUCGGCCACAUUGGGACUGAGACACGGCCCAAACUCCUACGGGAGGCUGCAGUAGGGAAUCUUCCACAAUGGUCGAAAGCCUGAUGGAGCAACGCCGCGUGUGUGAUGAAGGCUUUCGGGUCGUAAAGCACUGUUGUAUGGGAAGAACAGCUAGAAUAGGAAAUGAUUUUAGUUUGACGGUACCAUACCAGAAGGGGACGGCUAAAUACGUG
This 497-nucleotide ribosomal RNA is filed under the name uncultured bacterium. RNAcentral's name for it is "partial 16S ribosomal RNA". It matches the Rfam family "Bacterial small subunit ribosomal RNA", at positions 28 to 507 of the family's 1533-position model. The record is from RNAcentral.